This 163-nucleotide ribosomal RNA is filed under the name Cyrtandra cumingii. RNAcentral describes it as "5.8S ribosomal RNA". It matches the Rfam family "5.8S ribosomal RNA". From Rfam's summary of the family: 5.8S ribosomal RNA (5.8S rRNA) is a component of the large subunit of the eukaryotic ribosome. The record is from RNAcentral. Lineage: Eukaryota; Viridiplantae; Streptophyta; Magnoliopsida; Lamiales; Gesneriaceae.
UUAACGACUCUCGGCAACGGAUAUCUCGGCUCUCGCAUCGAUGAAGAACGUAGCGAAAUGCGAUACUUGGUGUGAAUUGCAGAAUCCCGUGAACCAUCGAGUCUUUGAACGCAAGUUGCGCCCGAAGCCAUCAGGUUGAGGGCACGUCUGCCUGGGCGUCACG